AUGUGGCUGCCGGAGUCGCCGCCCGGCCCCGGCUCGCCGGACUGCCCUGACCUGCUGCAGCACGUCCCGGCGCUGCGCUCGCCAGCCACCCCGCUGUACCUCAGCUUCUUCGAGGAGGAGUGUCGCGCCAUCGCCGCCCGCCUGCGCCGCGGGGCGGCCGCGGAGUCCUCCCCGGAGCUCAGCGGGCUGCAGCCCAAGUCCCCCGGGCCCGCCACCUCUACGCCGCUGCCCUUACCGAGCCACGGGCGGCUCCCCGACUUGAGUGCGGGCGACUGCAAGGCCGCUGCUACCCCUGGCCCGGCCCCGGCCCCAGCGGAGCCCGGGUCCCUCCCGCAGCCCUCGGCCGGCGGUGGCGGUGGCCCUCCGGCCCGCCCCGCUCGCACGCCCGCUGUGUCCCGGCGGGCGCGGCGCGGCCCCGAGCUGCCCUCCCGCGGCGCCCCCGGCACCCCUGCCCGCUCCCCGGGCCGCGGCCGCUCCAGGCUCGCUCUGCCCCGCGCACGGGCCUCGCUGGGGCUGCAGCUCCCCGCGGCCGGCACGGGGCGCGGCGCCUGGGAAACGCGGCUGCUGCGGCCCCCAGGGAUCAGGCUGAAGCUGACAUCGCCUGCCAGGUCCAGGCUUCCACGUGCCAGCGGGGCUUCGCAGCAGGCACCGGCUUCCAGCCUUCCCAAACUCGCCCCCCGGGCCAGAGCGGUGAAAAGUAAUUCUGCACCUGCCAGUUGCCUCGCGCGAAGCAGGGAAGCACCUGCUGCCAAGGUGGGGAGUUGUAAACAGCCCUCCUCAAAGCUUUCUACAGGAAUUCCUACUGUGGCUUACUGCUCCUCACUGCGGCCUCCGGAAAAAGUGAUUUCAUUCAAGCGUUUUGGCCUCAAUAAAGAAUCAACUGCAGAAGAGCUGGUGUGCAAUAGGACCCGAGAGCUGAAGGAAAAUGAUGAGAGCAAAGAAAGGCUGGUUGCAGCAAGCAUUGUCUUGGGAGCAGGUAGAAAUGACGAGACAUGGGAGUAUGUGGAGUCCUCUUUGUCCAGUGAGCUGGCCCCUGGCCUGACUUCAGGAUGUGAAGAUGCAGUUCCUGCUGAGCAGUCUGCAGGUGAUCAGCGGUCCCAGGAACUGGAGCGUGUGAAGAAAGAGCUGGAACAAGUGAAGGGCGAGCUUGCUGACAAGACUGCUCAGUGUGAAGCCUAUGAGCAGACAAUCUCCUCCUUGCAGGCUCAGCUCAGAGCAGCAGGAAUCUGUGUGAAAGAUGCAGCAGUGUUGGACAGUGGUGACCUGGGGAGAGACUGACAGCUGGGACAUGGGGACAGACAACAGUGUCCAGCUGUGUGAGCCCCUGGGCCAGUGAUAUAUGUAGAGCUCUUGAAUUAAUUAAUUUUUUAACUCCUUGUAUGUAAAAUAAAGGUGUCUUUUGCAGUGGUGCUUGCUGUCUG
RNAcentral lists this long non-coding RNA (1421 nucleotides) under Junco hyemalis (dark-eyed junco). RNAcentral describes it as "lncRNA (ENSJHYG00000012383.1)". The record is from RNAcentral. Lineage: Eukaryota; Metazoa; Chordata; Aves; Passeriformes; Passerellidae.